UGGAUUGGCCAAAAAGUUCAUUCGGGUUUUUCUGUAAAAUGUUAUGAAAACUUUUUGGCCAACCCA
Molecule: microRNA precursor, 66 nt
Filed under: Tursiops truncatus (common bottlenose dolphin)
Lineage: Eukaryota; Metazoa; Chordata; Mammalia; Artiodactyla; Delphinidae
Description: miRNA (ENSTTRG00000025052.1)
Source: RNAcentral